CGGAAUUAAUACCGCAUACGCUCUACGGAGGAAAGGGGGGGAUCUUAGGACCUCUCGCUACAGGGGCGGCCGAUGGCAGAUUAGCUAGUUGGUGGGGUAAAGGCCUACCAAGGCGACGAUCUGUAGCUGGUCUGAGAGGACGACCAGCCACACUGGGACUGAGACACGGCCCAGACUCCUACGGGAGGCAGCAGUGGGGAAUUUUGGACAAUGGGCGCAAGCCUGAUCCAGCAAUGCCGCGUGUGUGAAGAAGGCCUUCGGGUUGUAAAGCACUUUUGUCCGGAAAGAAAACCUCUGGGUUAAUACCCCGGGGGGAUGACGGUACCGGAAGAAUAAGCACCGGCUAACUACGUGCCAGCAGCCGCGGUAAUACGUAGGGUGCAAGCGUUAAUCGGAAUUACUGGGCGUAAAGCGUGCGCAGGCGGUCUGCUAAGACAGAUGUGAAAUCCCCGGGCUUAACCUGGGAACUGCAUUUGUGACUGGCAGGCUAGAGUAUGGCAGAGGGGGGUAAGA
This 513-nucleotide ribosomal RNA is filed under the name uncultured beta proteobacterium. Its description in RNAcentral is "bacterial SSU rRNA". It matches the Rfam family "Bacterial small subunit ribosomal RNA", at positions 158 to 666 of the family's 1533-position model. The record is from RNAcentral. Lineage: Bacteria; Pseudomonadati; Pseudomonadota; Betaproteobacteria.